AACGAACGCUGGCGGCAUGCCUAACACAUGCAAGUCGAACGAGACCUUCGGGUCUAGUGGCGCACGGGUGCGUAACGCGUGGGAACCUGCCCUUAGGUUCGGAAUAACUCCCCGAAAGGGGUGCUAAUACCGGAUAAUUUCUUCGGACCAAAGAUUUAUCGCCUUUGGAUGGGCCCGCGUUGGAUUAGCUAGUUGGUAGGGUAAAAGCCUACCAAGGCGACGAUCCAUAGCUGGUAUGAGAGGAUGAUCAGCCACACUGGGACUGAGACACGGCCCAGACUACUACGGGAGGCAGCAGUGGGGAAUAUUGGAAAAUGGGCGAAAGGCUGAUCCAGCAAUGCCGCGUGAGUGAUGAAGGCCUUAGGGUUGUAAAGCUCUUUUACCAGGGAUGAUAAUGACAGUACCGGGAGAAUAAGCACCGGCUAACUCCGUG
This 433-nucleotide ribosomal RNA is filed under the name uncultured bacterium. RNAcentral's name for it is "partial 16S ribosomal RNA". It matches the Rfam family "Bacterial small subunit ribosomal RNA", at positions 29 to 507 of the family's 1533-position model. The record is from RNAcentral.